GGGUUGUGAGGUUAAGCGACUAAGCGUACACGGUGGAUGCCCUGGCAGUCAGAGGCGAUGAAGGACGUGCUAAUCUGCGAUAAGCGUCGGUAAGGUGAUAUGAACCGUCAUAACCGGCGAUUUCCGAAUGGGGAAACCCAGUGUGUUUCGACACACUAUCAUUAACUGAAUCCAUAGGUUAAUGAGGCGAACCGGGGGAACUGAAACAUCUAAGUACCCCGAGGAAAAGAAAUCAACCGAGAUUCCCCCAGUAGCGGCGAGCGAACGGGGAGGAGCCCAGAGCCUGAAUCAGUGUGUGUGUUAGUGGAAGCGUCUGGAAAGGCGCGCGAUACAGGGUGACAGCCCCGUACACAAAAAUGCACAUAUUGUGAGCUCGAUGAGUAGGGCGGGACACGUGGUAUCCUGUCUGAAUAUGGGGGGACCAUCCUCCAAGGCUAAAUACU
RNAcentral lists this ribosomal RNA (443 nucleotides) under Shigella sonnei. Its description in RNAcentral is "bacterial LSU rRNA". It matches the Rfam family "Bacterial large subunit ribosomal RNA", at positions 1 to 474 of the family's 2925-position model. Lineage: Bacteria; Pseudomonadati; Pseudomonadota; Gammaproteobacteria; Enterobacterales; Enterobacteriaceae. The record is from RNAcentral.